Molecule: ribosomal RNA, 490 nt
Filed under: uncultured bacterium
Lineage: Bacteria
Description: partial 16S ribosomal RNA
Rfam family: Bacterial small subunit ribosomal RNA
Source: RNAcentral
AUUGAACGCUGGCGGCAGGCCUAACACAUGCAAGUCGAACGGUAACAGGAAGAAGCUUGCUUCUUUGCUGACGAGUGGCGGACGUGUGAGUAAUGUCUGGGAAACUGCCUGAUGGAGGGGGAUAACUACUGGAAACGGUAGCUAAUACCGCAUAACGUCGCAAGGCCAAAGAGGGGGACCUUCGGGCCUCUUGCCAUCGGCUGUGCCCAGAUGGGAUUAGCUAGUAGGUGGGGUAACGGCUCACCUAGGCGACGAUCCCUAGCUGGUCUGAGAGGAUGACCAGCCACACUGGAACUGAGACACGGUCCAGACUCCUACGGGAGGCAGCAGUGGGGAAUAUUGCACAAUGGGCGCAAGCCUGAUGCAGCCAUGCCGCGUGUAUGAAGAAGGCCUUCGGGUUGUAAAGUACUUUUAGCGGGGAGGAAGGGAGUAAAGUUAAUACCUUUGCUCAUUGACGUUACCCGCAGAAGAAGCACCGGCUAACUACGUG